AGAGUUUGAUCCUGGCUCAGGACGAACGCUAGCGGCACGCUUAACACAUGCAAGUCGAAUGAGGGAAGAGGAGCUUGCUUUUCUGAUCUAGUGGCGGACGGGUGGGUAACACGUGAGCAAUCUGCCUUUCAGAGGGGGAUACCGAUUGGAAACGAUCGUUAAUACCGCAUAACAUAAUUGAACCGCAUGAUUUGAUUAUCAAAGAUUUAUCGCUGAAAGAUGAGCUCGCGUCUGAUUAGCUAGUUGGUAAGGUAACGGCUUACCAAGGCGACGAUCAGUAGCCGGACUGAGAGGUUGAUCGGCCACAUUGGGACUGAGACACGGCCCAGACUCCUACGGGAGGCGGCAGUGGGGAAUAUUGCACAAUGGAGGAAACUCUGAUGCAGCGAUGCCGCGUGAGGGAAGAAGGUUUUAGGAUUGUAAACCUCUGUCUUCAGGGACGAAAAAAGACGGUACCUGAGGAGGAAGCUCCGGCUAACUACGUGCCAGCAGCCGCGGUAAUACGUAGGGAGCGAGCGUUGUCCGGAAUUACUGGGUGUAAAGGGAGCGUAGGCGGGAUCGCAAGUCAGAUGUGAAAACUAUGGGCUUAACCCAUAAACUGCAUUUGAAACUGUGGUUCUUGAGUGAAGUAGAGGUAAGCGGAAUUCCUAGUGUAGCGGUGAAAUGCGUAGAUAUUAGGAGGAACAUCAGUGGCGAAGGCGGCUUACUGGGCUUUAACUGACGCUGAGGCUCGAAAGCGUGGGGAGCAAACAGGAUUAGAUACCCUGGUAGUCCACGCCGUAAACGAUGAUUACUAGGUGUGGGGGGACUGACCCCUUCCGUGCCGCAGCAAACGCAAUAAGUAAUCCACCUGGGGAGUACGACCGCAAGGUUGAAACUCAAAGGAAUUGACGGGGGCCCGCACAAGCAGUGGAGUAUGUGGAUUAAUUCGAAGCAACGCGAAGGACCUUACCAGGUCUUGACAUCGUAUGCAUAGCUCAGAGAUGAGUGAAAUCUCUUCGGAGACAUAUAGACAGGUGGUGCAUGGUUGUCGUCAGCUCGUGUCGUGAGAUGUUGGGUUAAGUCCCGCAACGAGCGCAACCCUUACUGUUAGUUGCUACGCAAGAGCACUCUAGCAGGACUGCCGUUGACAAAACGGAGGAAGGUGGGGAUGACGUCAAAUCAUCAUGCCCCUUAUGACCUGGGCCUCACACGUACUACAAUGGCUGUCAACAGAGGGAAGCAAAGCCGCGAGGUGGAGCGAACCCCUAAAAGCAGUCUUAGUUCGGAUUGUAGGCUGCAACCCGCCUACAUGAAGUCGGAAUUGCUAGUAAUCGCAGAUCAGCAUGCUGCGGUGAAUACGUUCCCGGGCCUUGUACACACCGCCCGUCACGCCAUGGGAGUCGGUAACACCCGAAGCCUGUAGUCUAACCGCAAGGAGGACGCAGUCGAAGGUGGGAUUGAUGACUGGGGUGAAGUCGUAACAAGGUA
Molecule: ribosomal RNA, 1470 nt
Filed under: metagenome
Description: bacterial SSU rRNA
Rfam family: Bacterial small subunit ribosomal RNA
Source: RNAcentral